Molecule: ribosomal RNA, 234 nt
Filed under: uncultured bacterium
Lineage: Bacteria
Description: partial 16S ribosomal RNA
Rfam family: Bacterial small subunit ribosomal RNA
Source: RNAcentral
AGGAACCUGCCUUCCAGAGGGGGACAACAGUUGGAAACGACUGCUAAUACCGCAUGACGCAUUGGUGUCGCAUGGCACUGAUGUCAAAGAUUUAUCGCUGGAAGAUGGCCUCGCGUCUGAUUAGCUAGUUGGUGAGGUAACGGCCCACCAAGGCGACGAUCAGUAGCCGGACUGAGAGGUUGGCCGGCCACAUUGGGACUGAGAUACGGCCCAGACUCCUACGGAAGGCAGCAG